RNAcentral lists this long non-coding RNA (440 nucleotides) under Carica papaya (papaya). Its description in RNAcentral is "long non-coding RNA (CPAP_LNC005977)". Lineage: Eukaryota; Viridiplantae; Streptophyta; Magnoliopsida; Brassicales; Caricaceae. The record is from RNAcentral.
UCUCCACAUUAUGGGAAGCGGAUGAUUGGGCGACGAGGGGGGGAUUAGAGAAAAUAGAUUGGAGCAAAGCGCCCUUCAAAGCAUAUUACAGAGACUUUGACAUUGAAGGGUGCGCAGUUCCAGGGCCAUCCAACUGCGCCACUGAUCCUAAAAACUGGUGGGAAGGGAAUGCUUAUCAAGCCUUGAAUGCCCUUGAAGCAAGAAGAUACAGGUGGGUCCGUCUCAACCACAUGAUCUAUGAUUACUGCACUGAUAAAUCAAGGUACCCAGUUACACCACCUGAGUGUGUCUUCGGCAUAUAGACGAUCAAAACCCACAACACAUAAAACCCUAAAUUGUGUAGUAAAAAAUAUGGCAUAAAAAAUUUUAUUCAAUGAGGGGAAAAUAAGUAUGCUGGUUGCAUAUGUGAAUUGGGUAUUUCCGAGUUUGAUUAUUUGGGU